Molecule: ribosomal RNA, 484 nt
Filed under: uncultured bacterium
Lineage: Bacteria
Description: partial 16S ribosomal RNA
Rfam family: Bacterial small subunit ribosomal RNA
Source: RNAcentral
AUUGAACGCUAGCGGGAUGCUUUACACAUACAAGUCGAACGGCAGCGCGGACUUCGGUCUGGCGGCGAGUGGCGAACGGGUGAGUAAUGUAUCGGAACGUGCCCAGUAGCGGGGGAUAACUACGCGAAAGCGUAGCUAAUACCGCAUACGCCCUACGGGGGAAAGCAGGGGAUCGUAAGACCUUGCACUAUUGGAGCGGCCGAUAUCGGAUUAGCUAGUUGGUGAGGUAACGGCUCACCAAGGCGACGAUCCGUAGCUGGUUUGAGAGGACGACCAGCCACACUGGGACUGAGACACGGCCCAGACUCCUACGGGAGGCAGCAGUGGGGAAUUUUGGACAAUGGGGGCAACCCUGAUCCAGCCAUCCCGCGUGUGCGAUGAAGGCCUUCGGGUUGUAAAGCACUUUUGGCAGGAAAGAAACGUCGCGGGCUAAUACCCCGUGGAACUGACGGUACCUGCAGAAUAAGCACCGGCUAACUACGUG